This 793-nucleotide long non-coding RNA is filed under the name Rattus norvegicus (Norway rat). RNAcentral describes it as "long non-coding RNA NONRATT010132". The record is from RNAcentral. Lineage: Eukaryota; Metazoa; Chordata; Mammalia; Rodentia; Muridae.
UAUCGACAAUCUGAGUAGCAGUUUGUCACUACAGUUGCAAAAGUUAUCAUAUGUGUAAAAUUCAUGUUGCAGUCAUAAUUCACAGGAGCGCCACCCAGGUAGCUUCCAGCUCCUUCCCUGGUAUAGCACAGCUGUCUGCUUUCAGAUUUUACUGUGCUCAUUUCUCCCACCCACACAUCUGGAUGCUCAGUACAAAAUGGACGGCCCCUCUGUCCCUGCAGCGUGCCCGGUUUCUCACCACACUGAGUAUACACCUGCAGCAUGUGGAGCCUUGCAAGAUUACUGAAGAUUCGAGUCCACCGACUUCCCUCUCACGGCCUGCAGAGCCUCCCAGCCCGGACAAAUGGGUCCCUGAGAGUCUAAAGGACCCAGAAACCCUACCGCACACAGUUCCCAUCUUGAACUUGUCCGUUUUGUACUUUCUGCCUGAGCCCACUUUGGCUUUAGGUUAUAACUUACUUCCCUGUUCUGUAGGACUCAGGCUCCAGCCCAGGACUAGGUACAUGCUAGGCAAGCGCUCUGUGCCAAACUGUACCUCCAGUCCUUUAUUCCACAAUUUUGCAUAAAUCUUUCCAAGUGUCAGGUCUACCCUUCUAUAAAACCUUGUGUUUGCAGUCUGAGCUUGGCUGUCACAUUUGAAGCGAUGACGUAUGUCUGCUCUUGAAUUGGAGAUGGCAAUGUGAUUUCCUAUUCUCUAAAGACACCGUUCGCAGGUUUCAGGUGUCCGUGAGGUGGCAUCAUAAACAAUUUUCAUGUCAGAAAGUCAAGACCUAAGUUGCCUAGGGUAAGAUUU